ACCUUUUCUUUCCUUGUGUGUCUUCAGAAAUGUUCAAUACUUCUCCAUGGAGCUCCAAGGUGUCCACCAUACUGACUUUUCAGCAUGCUAUAGCUGUGCUGCGUUCUAACCUCUGGCCAGGAGCAUUUGCUUAUGCAUGUGGAAAGAAGUUUGAGAACAUUUAUAUUGGAUGGGGUCUGAAGUAUGUAGGGGAGGUGUACAGCCCACCCAUUCCCCCACCACCACUAAUGGAAUAUCAAAAUGGACCAGAAAUCACAGAGGGCCUGGACCCAACCCCAGAGGAAGAGCAAGCUUUGAAAGAAGAUUUAGAAGAGCAGCAAGCUGCCCUGGAGGAGGCAGAGGCGUCAGAAGACGAUGAAGAUGAAGAUUAAUAAAUAUGUAAU
This is a long non-coding RNA of Poecilia latipinna (sailfin molly), 383 nucleotides long. RefSeq lists it as uncharacterized. The record is from RefSeq and is a predicted model, not a curated record. NCBI's taxonomy places the organism in Eukaryota, Metazoa, Chordata, Actinopteri, Cyprinodontiformes, Poeciliidae. The transcript is spliced from 2 exons.